Molecule: ribosomal RNA, 395 nt
Filed under: uncultured bacterium
Lineage: Bacteria
Description: partial 16S ribosomal RNA
Rfam family: Bacterial small subunit ribosomal RNA
Source: RNAcentral
AAUAUUGCACAAUGGGGGAAACCCUGAUGCAGCGACUCCGCGUGAGCGAAGAAGGACUUCGGGUCGUAAAGCUCUGUCCUAAGGGACGAAACCGACGGUACCUUAGGAGGAAGCCCCGGCUAACUACGUGCAAGCACCCGCGGUAAUACGUAGGGGGCGAGCGCUAGGCGGAAUUACUGGGCGUAAAGGGUGCGUAGGCGGCCUUUUAAGUCAGAUGUGAAAGGCUACGGCUUAACCGUAGUUAGCAUUUGAAACUAAAAGGCUUGAGUGCAGGAGAGGAGAGUGGAAUUCCUAGUGUAGCGGUGAAAUGCGUAGAUAUUAGGAGGAACACCAGUGGCGAAGGCGACUCUCUGGACUGCAAAUGACGCUGAGGCACGAAAGCGUGGGGAGCGAAC